UCUCCGUUGGUGAACCAGCGGAGGGAUCAUUACAGAGUUGCAAAACUCCCAAACCAUUGUGAACGUUACCUAUCCCGUUGCUUCGGCGGGCGCCCACGGGGGGCCGGGGGGCGCCCGCCGGAGGUAAACCAAACCCUUGAAUUGCAUGGCCUCUCUGAGUCUUCUGUACUGAAUAAGUCAAAACUUUCAACAACGGAUCUCUUGGUUCUG
Molecule: unclassified non-coding RNA, 210 nt
Filed under: plant metagenome
Description: partial contains small subunit ribosomal RNA, internal transcribed spacer 1, and 5.8S ribosomal RNA
Source: RNAcentral